This is a long non-coding RNA of Sebastes umbrosus (honeycomb rockfish), 938 nucleotides long. RefSeq lists it as uncharacterized. Lineage: Eukaryota; Metazoa; Chordata; Actinopteri; Perciformes; Sebastidae. The transcript is spliced from 3 exons. The record is from RefSeq and is a predicted model, not a curated record.
ACGGGGAGAUGCGGAACCUUCAAUCUGCUGCUGUCCUUAUUUAUUGACCUCAUCAUCAUCACUGCGAUGAAGCCCCCUCCUUCCUCCUCCCUCCUCUUCCUCCUCCUCCUCCUCCUCCCUGAGGGAAGGUGGACAAACAGAACCUACAAAAUUACUAUAACUGCUUCAAAUACGCCGCACACUGACUGCGGCAUCUUGAGAGGAUCCGGAUGUCAAUGCAGCCGAGGAAUCUCUUAACACUAUGGUUUGAACAUUUCACUAUAUAUAUGGGAGAGUCGUGAUACAGGAAGUUGGUAUUUGAUUAGAUGCUGGUAAGUCAGAUAUACCAAAUAAGUUCCAUCGGCUGACAGCCUAAUCAAAAGAAAAUACAUGUGGAGAACGGUUCCAUGCUAAUGACUUAACUCUGCAUUUGAUCCUGUUGCUUUCUGUGCCCAUUUUAAAGAGGCCAUUCCAUGCGUGCAUGAUUCACAGCAUUUGGAGUGCAAAUGUCAUCUGUUUCAGUUGCUAUGACAACUCCAAAAGAUACCAAUUACUGAGGAACACCAAUUACCAGAUCCCCCACAGGUUGUCAGAUUGCAAGAAUACAUUACAGACAAUCAGAGGAGCUUAUUAGGUCAGCUUUAGGACAGGCAGGAGGGACUACAUCUCCCAGCAUGCAGGUGUGACUCAGCUGACGGUACAAUGCAUUUGAACGUUUAGUGUUAAAAUGUGUCUAUUAAGCAUUAUGCACAUGGAAACUACAGCAUGGUUGAGGUUAAAUUUAGGAAACUAAACAAUCAGGGUCAUUGGAUGUUCUUCAAGUCUAUGUUAAUUCACUACUCACAUGUCAUAUGUACAUUGAAAGAGUUAUUUCUAGGGCUGUCAAUCGAUUAAAAUACUUAACUGUGAUUAAUCGCAUGAUUGUCCAUAGUUAAUCGUGAUUAAUUGCAAAUGUAUCA